GCUGCUGAGAGUGCGGGUGGGCUGGGUGCCCUGAACUGUUUGCAAAUUGCCAAAGCACCUGGUGGUGGAAGGAUGUAAAUGAGAAGAGCACCCACAUGGUCUGGAUCACACUGUGGACACUGGGAUCAACCAUCUCCUCUCUGACGGCCGCCCCGGGGAUUGUCAGGCGGACCCUUCAGAAAGCGUGAAGUUGAGGCUGGUGAACGGGGGCAGUCCAUGCGCCGGGAGAGUGGAGGUUCACUACAAGGGGAACUGGAGGACUGUGUAUGGUAGCAGCUGGGACCUGCAGGACGCGGCGGUGGUGUGUCGGGAGCUGGGCUGCGGCGCCGCGAUGGGAGCCCCGGGCGGAGCUCACUUUGGACCGGGGUCCGGACCCGUUGUGACGUAUUAUGUUGAGUGCACCGGGAGCGAGGCCGCACUGCGGGAGUGUAAAUCACGGACAUGGGGGGACUAUGGCGUUCCACACUCCAACGAUGCCGGCGUUAUCUGCGAAGGACAAGUGCCAAGAUUGGUACCCAAAGAUGAUCAGUGCUCGGGAAGACUGGAAGUGCUGUAUGAUGAAACCUGGGGAACCGUGUGUGACCUGGCCUGGGAUAUGGAUGAUGCCAAUGUGGUGUGCAAUCAGCUUCAUUGUGGAGUCGCCGUGUCUGUUC
Amblyraja radiata (thorny skate) is the source of this 653-nucleotide long non-coding RNA. RefSeq lists it as uncharacterized. The transcript has 5 exons. The record is from RefSeq and is a predicted model, not a curated record. Lineage: Eukaryota; Metazoa; Chordata; Chondrichthyes; Rajiformes; Rajidae.